Long non-coding RNA from Hordeum vulgare subsp. vulgare (domesticated barley), 142 nucleotides. RefSeq lists it as uncharacterized. The transcript has 2 exons. The record is from RefSeq and is a predicted model, not a curated record. Lineage: Eukaryota; Viridiplantae; Streptophyta; Magnoliopsida; Poales; Poaceae.
UGUCUCCUUCUUCGAUAAACAUUUGCAAAGCUUAUCAUGCAGGACGUUCACAUGACACUCCUAUGGUUGAUUUUGAGGAAGAUGAGGCCGAUGAAGAAGAUAUUGACUAUGAAGAAGAAGAGGAAGGAGAAGAAGAUGAGGA